Long non-coding RNA from Capsicum annuum, 2837 nucleotides. RefSeq lists it as uncharacterized. The transcript has 4 exons. Lineage: Eukaryota; Viridiplantae; Streptophyta; Magnoliopsida; Solanales; Solanaceae. The record is from RefSeq and is a predicted model, not a curated record.
UUCACAUUCUUAAAGCAGUCAGACAGUCACAACAAUUCACAAAGUUGAAGCAAACCAGUCCACUAAAGACUCAACCGACAAGGCGACAACUGGAGAGGCGAAACGACGAGGGUGUCGAGCAACCGGCACUCCGGCUACGACAACGGCGAGGGUCAACGGACGGUGAGGAUUUUAUCAACGUUACUGACUCGUGAGUAAUUAUUCAAACUCGUCUAUCCUUUUCUGCAGGGGCGAAACCAGGAUUUUGAGUGAGUGACAUACAUAUGGCUGAAAAUACUACAACUGAUGAGGCAGUGAUCCUAGCCGAUUAGAGCAUUAAUUCAAAUAUUGCGCGUCAAACAAAUUUUGUCCAGAUGAAGGUAAAGAAAGAAAGAAAAAAAAAGGUCUCGUGCAUGGAAUCAUUUUGGAUCAUUUGUUGAUGAAGAAGGAAAUAAGAAAUCAAAGUGUAAGCAUUGUGGUCAAGAUUAUUUUGCUGAUUCAAGUAAAAAUGGUAUGACGUUAAUGCUUACUCAUUUGUUAACAUGUCCAAAGAUGCCUCGAAAUCAAUCUGCUGACAAAAAUAAAACCGAAAUAGGCUUUCAAUCUGUUGAGGGGGUGUUGCAGGUGAUGUGGCUGUUGUUUCGUGGAAAUUUGAGCAAGAACAAUGUAGGAGAGCUUUAUAUCGCAUGGUGAUUGUGGAUGAACUCCCCUUCAGAUUUGUUGAGAAGGAAGGUUUUAGAAACUUUAUGAAAGUAGCGCAACCUCAUUUUAAGAUUCCUUCUCGUACCACUGUGACACGUGACUGUUUUAAACUAUUUGAUGAAGAGAAACAGAAGUUGAAAAGGUCAUUUAGAGAAGCCCAACAAAGAGUCUGUCUUACCACUGAUACUUGGACCUCUUUGCAGCGAAUUAAUUAUAUGUGCAUCACUGCACAUUGGAUCGACAGUAAAUGGAUUAUGCACAAGAGAAUAAUUAACUUUUGUCCAAUUACUAGCCACAGAGGUGAAGACAUGGCUAAUGAGAUUAGUAAGUGUUUACGUGAUUGGGGCAUAGAUAAAAUUUUUACCAUCACAGUCAAUAAUGCUAGUUCGAACAAUGUGACUGUGAAAGAGUUAGCUAAGACAUUCACUAAAUGGGAAACUAAUUUCAUGAACGGAGAACAACUUCAUGUAAGGUGUAUGUCUCACAUUAUUAAUCUUAUUGUCCAAGAUGGUUUGAAAGUGACUAGCAUGUCCAUUGAAAGGGUUAGAAAAGCAGUGAAAUACAUAAGGCAGUCCCCUGCAAGGUGUAAGAGGUUUCAAGAAUGUUGUGAAGAUGUUGAUAUCAAUAGUAAAAAAUCGUUAUGUUUGGAUGUUUCUACGAGGUGGAACUCCACAUACUUGAUGUUUGAAAGUGCCUAGCAUGUCCAUUGAAAGGGUUAGAAAAACAGUGAAAUACAUAAGGCAGUCCCCUGCAAGGUGUAAGAGGUUUCAAGAAUGUUGUGAAGAUGUUGAUAUCAAUAGUAAAAAAUCGUUAUGUUUGGAUGUUUCUUCGAGGUGGAACUCCACAUACUUGAUGUUGAAUAGGGCGAUUGAGUGUGAAAAUGGGUUUUUGAGUUAUGUUGAUCGUGAUAUUGGGCUUAUCACAUUACCUUCAGUUUGUUGAUGAUGAAGAGAGAACUGCUGCCGGUGCACUUUCGAGUGAUGACUGGGACCAUGUAAUUAUGAUCUAACCAAAGAAGUAUCUGAAUCACUCUAUGUCACAUUAAAUUUACACUUUCUUAAAAUUUGGGAGCUUUCUUGUUAUUUGAAGCAGUUGAUAUCGAGUGACGAUGAUGGUGAUGAUCUUUUGGGUAAAAUUGCAUCGAAUAUGAAAGAAAAGUUUGAUAAGUAUUGGGGGUAGUCCAAAGAAAAUGAAUAAGAUGAUUUUUAUUUCUUGUGUUCUGGAUCCUCGGCACAAGUUUGUUUUGGUUGGUUUCGCUCUUCGGAUGAUGUUUGGGAAAGAAGGACUAGUUUUAGAGAGCAGGGUGAAAGACUACAUGAAUUUGAUGUAUGGUGAGUAUGUAAAGUUUUUUUCAAUUGAUAAAGAUAGUCAACAUUCUUCAUCUUCAUCUAGCUCUUUAUUUGAAAAUUCUAGUUCACUGCCUUCGAGUUCUGGUAGUACUGUUCAAUCGAUAGGGUCUUUAGGGUCAUUUAUGGAUGAUCUUAUGAAACAUAAAGCUGGAAAUACAACAACAGUUAAAACAGAACUGCAAAAGUAUCUUGAUGAAGCAAAUGAAGGUGAAACCAAGAACUUCAACGUCUUGUCUUGGUGGAAAAUACAUUCACCCAGAUUUCCUAUUCUUGUUGAGAUGGCUCGGGAUGUGUUGCUAUUCCCAUUUCAAGCGUGGCAUCCGAGUGUGCGUUUAGUACCGGUGGACGUAUCUUGGAUUCAUUUUGGAGUUCAUUAACUCCUAAAUUGGUGCAAAAUCUAGUGUGCCUUCAAGAUUGUAUUUGGAGUGAAUCACAACCUAUUAGUAUUGAGGAAGAUAUAGAUGUCCUCAAAAAGCUUGAACAAGAAUUGGCUAAUACUAGCAUUCUUGAUGAUUGACGUGGAGUUGAGGUUCUUCUUUUUUGCACUUGAAUCUGGGCAUCUGGUGUCUGAUUUUUGGCAAGAUCUGGAUAUUUUCAAAAGCUUGAAGCGUUUGAAGAUUUUUGGCAAGAUUUGGGUAUUUUCAAAAGCUUGAAGCGUUUGAAGAGUUUUGGCAAGAUCUGGAUAUUUUGAAAAGCUUGAAGAACUAGGAUUUGUUUUUUUCUUUCAACUAACAUUCAAUUCAAGUUUGAAGAUUUUUGUAAACUAAAACUCGUAGGAUUUGGCGAACUAAGAUUUUGUUUUUUUUA